CCCUUAGAUGUCCUGGGCCGCACGCGCGUUACACUGAUGCAUUCAACGAGCUUAUAACCUUGGCCGAAAGGCCUGGGCAAUCUUGUUAACGUGCAUCGUGAUAGGGAUAGAUUAUUGAAAUUAUUAAUCUUGAACGAGGAAUUCCUAGUAAACGCAGAUCAUCAAUCUGCAUUGAUUACGUCCCUGCCCUUUGUACACACCGCCCGUCGCACCUACCGAUUGGAUGGUCCGGUGAAGCCUCGGGAUUGUGGUUCUUACCGCUUUAUUGUGGCGUGACCGCGAGAACUUGUCUAAACCUUAUCAUCUAGAGGAAGGUGAAGUCGUAACA
Molecule: ribosomal RNA, 328 nt
Filed under: uncultured eukaryote
Lineage: Eukaryota
Description: partial 18S ribosomal RNA
Rfam family: Eukaryotic small subunit ribosomal RNA
Source: RNAcentral